This 82-nucleotide small RNA is filed under the name uncultured Eubacterium sp. RNAcentral describes it as "GA-cis RNA". It matches the Rfam family "GA-cis RNA". The record is from RNAcentral. Lineage: Bacteria; Bacillati; Bacillota; Clostridia; Eubacteriales; Eubacteriaceae.
AGGUGCGGUCAUGACGGAGUCAUGACAUAGGGAUCGCACCGACCGACGCGCCGCCGAGCGGAUGCGAGGGGGCAAUACAUAU